Molecule: ribosomal RNA, 513 nt
Filed under: Hysterangium sp. T3296
Lineage: Eukaryota; Fungi; Basidiomycota; Agaricomycetes; Hysterangiales; Hysterangiaceae
Description: eukaryotic LSU rRNA
Rfam family: Eukaryotic large subunit ribosomal RNA
Source: RNAcentral
UCAAAUUUGUAAUCUGACGGUCUCAGGCCGUCCGAGUUGUAGUCUGGAGAAGCGUUUUCCGUGCCGGACCGUGUACAAGUCCCUUGGAACAGGGCGUCGUAGAGGGUGAGAAUCCCGUCUCUGACACGGACCGCCGGUGCUCUGUGAUGCGCUCUCGAAGAGUCGAGUUGUUUGGGAAUGCAGCUCAAAAUGGGUGGUAAAUUCCAUCUAAAGCUAAAUAUUGGCGAAAGACCGAUAGCGAACAAGUACCGUGAGGGAAAGAUGAAAAGCACUUUGGAAAGAGAGUUAAACAGUACGUGAAAUUGUUGAAAGGGAAACGCUUCAAGUCAGUCGCGUCUUCCGAGACUCAGCCGGGUUUUUAACCCGGUGCACUUCUCGGUGUGACGGGCCAGCAUCGAUUUCGAUCGUCGGAGAAAGGCUCUGGGAAUGUGGCACCUCCGGGUGUGUUAUAGCCCUCUGUCGUAUGCGACGGUCGGGAUCGAGGACCGCAGUGUGCCUUCACUGGGCCGGGGU